CCAGACUCCUACGGGAGGCAGCAGUGGGGAAUAUUGCACAAUGGGGGAAACCCUGAUGCAGCGACGCCGCGUGAGUGAAGAAGUAUUUCGGUAUGUAAAGCUCUAUCAGCAGGGAAGAAAAUGACGGUACCUGACUAAGAAGCCCCGGCUAACUACGUGCCAGCAGCCGCGGUAAUACGUAGGGGGCAAGCGUUAUCCGGAUUUACUGGGUGUAAAGGGAGCGUAGACGGCAUGGCAAGUCAGAUGUGAAAGCCCGGGGCUCAACCCCGGGACUGCAUUUGAAACUGUCAGGCUGGAGUGUAGGAGAGGUAAGUGGAAUUCCUAGUGUAGCGGUGAAAUGCGUAGAUAUUAGGAGGAACACCGGUGGCGAAGGCGGCCUGCUGGACUGUGACUGACGUUGAGGCCCGAAGGCGUGGGGAGCAAACAGGAUUAGAUACCCCGGUAUC
Molecule: ribosomal RNA, 446 nt
Filed under: uncultured bacterium
Lineage: Bacteria
Description: bacterial SSU rRNA
Rfam family: Bacterial small subunit ribosomal RNA
Source: RNAcentral